RNAcentral lists this ribosomal RNA (201 nucleotides) under uncultured bacterium. RNAcentral describes it as "partial 16S ribosomal RNA". It matches the Rfam family "Bacterial small subunit ribosomal RNA", at positions 1300 to 1500 of the family's 1533-position model. The record is from RNAcentral.
GUAGUCUGCAACUCGACUACAUGAAGCUGGAAUCGCUAGUAAUCGCGAAUCAGAAUGUCGCGGUGAAUACGUUCCCGGGUCUUGUACACACCGCCCGUCACACCAUGGGAGUCGGGAAUGCCCGAAGUCAGUGACCCAACCGGAAGGAGGGAGCUGCCGAAGGCAGGCUCGAUAACUGGGGUGAAGUCGUAACAAGGUACC